Molecule: ribosomal RNA, 278 nt
Filed under: Triticum aestivum (bread wheat)
Lineage: Eukaryota; Viridiplantae; Streptophyta; Magnoliopsida; Poales; Poaceae
Description: rRNA LSU_rRNA_eukarya
Rfam family: Eukaryotic large subunit ribosomal RNA
Source: Rfam by way of RNAcentral
CUGACAUGCGUGCGAGUCGACGGGUUCUGAAACCUGGGAUGCGCAAGGAAGCUGACGAGCGGGAGGCCCUCACGGGCCGCACCGCUGGCCGACCCUGAUCUUCUGUGAAGGGUUCGAGUUGGAGCAUGCCUGUCGGGACCCGAAAGAUGGUGAACUAUGCCUGAGCGGGGCGAAGCCAGAGGAAACUCUGGUGGAGGCUCGAAGCGAUACUGACGUGCAAAUCGUUCGUCUGACUUGGGUAUAGGGGCGAAAGACUAAUCGAACCAUCUAGUAGCUGG